AGAGUUUGAUCAUGGCUCAGAUUGAACGCUGGCGGCAGGCUUAACACAUGCAAGUCGAGCGGAGAUGAGGUGCUUGCACCUUAUCUUAGCGGCGGACGGGUGAGUAAUGCUUAGGAAUCUGCCUAUUAGUGGGGGACAACAUUCCGAAAGGAAUGCUAAUACCGCAUACGUCCUACGGGAGAAAGCAGGGGAUCUUCGGACCUUGCGCUAAUAGAUGAGCCUAAGUCGGAUUAGCUAGUUGGUGGGGUAAAGGCCUACCAAGGCGACGAUCUGUAGCGGGUCUGAGAGGAUGAUCCGCCACACUGGGACUGAGACACGGCCCAGACUCCUACGGGAGGCAGCAGUGGGGAAUAUUGGACAAUGGGGGGAACCCUGAUCCAGCCAUGCCGCGUGUGUGAAGAAGGCCUUAUGGUUGUAAAGCACUUUAAGCGAGGAGGAGGCUACUGAGACUAAUACUCUUGGAUAGUGGACGUUACUCGCAGAAUAAGCACCGGCUAACUCUGUGCCAGCAGCCGCGGUAAUACAGAGGGUGCGAGCGUUAAUCGGAUUUACUGGGCGUAAAGCGUGCGUAGGCGGCUUUUUAAGUCGGAUGUGAAAUCCCCGAGCUUAACUUGGGAAUUGCAUUCGAUACUGGGAAGCUAGAGUAUGGGAGAGGAUGGUAGAAUUCCAGGUGUAGCGGUGAAAUGCGUAGAGAUCUGGAGGAAUACCGAUGGCGAAGGCAGCCAUCUGGCCUAAUACUGACGCUGAGGUACGAAAGCAUGGGGAGCAAACAGGAUUAGAUACCCUGUAGUCCAUGCCGUAAACGAUGUCUACUAGCCGUUGGGGCCUUUGAGGCUUUAGUGCGCAGCUAACGCGAUAAGUAGACCGCCUGGGGAGUACGGUCGCAGACUAAACUCAAUGAUUGACGG
This 908-nucleotide ribosomal RNA is filed under the name uncultured bacterium. Its description in RNAcentral is "bacterial SSU rRNA". It matches the Rfam family "Bacterial small subunit ribosomal RNA", at positions 8 to 916 of the family's 1533-position model. The record is from RNAcentral.